This is a long non-coding RNA of Anguilla anguilla (European eel), 435 nucleotides long. RefSeq lists it as uncharacterized. The record is from RefSeq and is a predicted model, not a curated record. The transcript is spliced from 3 exons. NCBI's taxonomy places the organism in Eukaryota, Metazoa, Chordata, Actinopteri, Anguilliformes, Anguillidae.
UGAAUAUGCACGAAGCUAAGUCAAGCUCGAUAAUUCAGUUCGGUUCGGUUCGAAAUUCGGAGGGUAAUAAGCAACUACGGCUAAACAGAUCCAUGCUGGGCGUUUCUCAGUUGUAAUUAUCCACUUCAGUGCUCCGUGUCAGCAAAAACAACAACACCAAACGCAUCCAGUGACGGGGACAGACAAAGAAAGCCUCUGGCUUGCCGCCUCUGGCAAAAAUGCUGCCAGUGAAACAAAAUACGCUUCGAUAAUCACGUUGGUCUCAUCAUUUUGGCACAGUAACACUGGCAAACGCCAGACUGGAUUGGUCAUGUUGGCACAGUCCGGCAUUGGUUCUGGGCCACAAGCCACCGUGCUGCUUUAGCUGCCCACAGCAAAGAUGGCAUCUUACUAACCACUAAAUCACGCUGAUUAAAGAAAUCAUUUUUCGUGCAA